UUUCAAGCAUUGAAGAGAUUGCAGUAGUGUAGCAUGUUCCCUGUUGUAGAGAGCCGGCGGUUGGUGGAAGCCGGUCAAAGCAUGUACAUGAAGUACGGUCUUGGAGUUUGAACGUGUCCGUCGCGUUAAGACGGUUCGAGUGGAAGAUGAUGUCUUCAAGCCGGGUGGUACCGCGUUAUGUAUAAACGUCCCUGCA
This 196-nucleotide non-coding RNA is filed under the name Lysinibacillus odysseyi. RNAcentral's name for it is "T-box sequence". It matches the Rfam family "T-box leader". From Rfam's summary of the family: Uncharged tRNA acts as the effector for transcription antitermination of genes in the T-box leader family. T-boxes are found upstream of many aminoacyl-tRNA synthetase genes and some amino acid biosynthetic genes usually in Gram-positive bacteria. The anticodon of a specific tRNA base pairs to a specifier sequence within the T-box motif, and the NCCA acceptor tail of the tRNA base pairs to a conserved bulge in the T-box antiterminator hairpin. The record is from RNAcentral. Lineage: Bacteria; Bacillati; Bacillota; Bacilli; Caryophanales; Bacillaceae.